Molecule: long non-coding RNA, 857 nt
Filed under: Cyanistes caeruleus (blue tit)
Lineage: Eukaryota; Metazoa; Chordata; Aves; Passeriformes; Paridae
Description: lncRNA (ENSCCEG00000001666.1)
Source: RNAcentral
CAGACUUCUGAAGCCCUGCUUUUUAAUCAGUUAAAAAUACUGAAUAGCCACAUACAUAUUUUUAGUAGAAUCUGCUAAAUAUCACUCUCUGACAUCAGCCAGCUCAGACUCACUGUACUCCAAAGUAACCAUUUCAUGUUUUAGCAUCUUCAACAAGUCUCAAGAUGACUUUAGCUCUAUUCUUGACUGUUUAGCUUUCUUCUUAUCAGAACAUAAUUACUAAAGAAGGUAGCCAGAAACAACAGGGAUGAGAAAUCUACAGGGACCUCUUACGAUAUGAUGAGGUUUGACAUCCCUCAUAGCUGAGCUUCUAUGUGAAAAAGCCUGUACUUGGGCAGGAGAGUGAACACAGGCAAAGAAGAAAACAGGAUACAUGGCCAGACAUUCUAUGUAGGGCUUUUCUUCACUGCUCAAUGGGAAAAUGAGUGAAUGACAGUGUGUUAGAAAUUGAGAAGAAGCUUCAUACAUUCAAAGAUGCUGCUCCUGACCUCUUGUUCAGCAAAGAGAGAAAAUAAAGCAACAUCUACAAAACUUCUGUGCUUGGAAGCAACACAAGUUCUCUUGGACACCUGAAAGGUUCUUUCCCUCCCAUUCUUCCUAAACAGUGCCACCGCUUACCCAGGAUGUGUUAGAAGCUGAUGUCGGACCAGUAAAGUCACUUCUAGCAAGUGGCAUCCUUACUGUCACUCUUCAUUCAAGUCCACAGAGGCUGCCUCAACCUUUUCAACAAAAACUACCAACAAGGAGUAGCAGAGUACCUCAGCAGAGCUUUUUGUGCCAUUGCAACGCUUGUGAAACACAAACACGGAUGAACUUGAGAGCAACAUCUCUACCAGGUAAAAUGCUCAUUAAACAAA